AAUAAGAAAUUCAUAAGGGCGUAUGGUGGAUGCCUUGACUCUAAAAGGCGAUGAAGGACGUGGCAUGUCUGCGAUAAGCUUCGGGUAGGUGACUAGCAACCUGUGAUCCGGAGAUUUCCGAAUGGGGGAACCCAAUCUGUUGAACACAGAUUACCUUGUAUCUGUAAAGGAUACUCGGAGUGCACCUGGGGAAGUGAAACAUCUCAGUACCCAGAGGAAAAGAAAACAAUGUCUAUUUAUUUAGAUAAUAUUUCGUAAGUAGCGGCGAGCGAAAGCGAAAGAGCCCAAACCAGCACAUCACAUGGCAUGUGAUGUGAGUAUAAAGUUUAUAAAGUUUAUAAAGUCAAAAGUUUUUAACUUGCGACUUUUAACUUUUUACUUUUAACUCGCACAUCAUAUUUCAUGUGAUGUGCUGGGGUUGUAGGACAACAGUGUCAUUCUUGUAAUGAAAAAAGUCAAAAAAUAUUUUGUUAGUUGAAUCUGCUGGGAAGCAGGACCCUAGAGGGUAAUAGUCCCGUAAACGAAAACAAUCUAUCUUUUUUAUUGUUGUUCCUGAGUACCUCAAGACACGAAUGGCUUGGGGGAAUCUGCCGGAACUAACCGGUAAGGCUAAAUACUUUUAGAGAUCGAUAGUGAACAAGUACCGUGAGGGAAAGGUGAAAA
This 663-nucleotide ribosomal RNA is filed under the name Candidatus Campbelliibacteriota bacterium. Its description in RNAcentral is "bacterial LSU rRNA". It matches the Rfam family "Bacterial large subunit ribosomal RNA", at positions 1 to 520 of the family's 2925-position model. The record is from RNAcentral. Lineage: Bacteria; Candidatus Campbelliibacteriota.